CGGCAAAUUUUUUUUCGUUACCUUCAUCUGCUUCUUUUCCCAUCAAUGGUGAUAAUGGUUUUUAUAUGUGAUUAGAAACAUAUACGUGAAAAAAAUGUAAGGCUUUUUUUUUGUUUAAAAAUUUGGAUUCCCAAAAAAAUAUAAUUUCUUUUAUUAAAAUUUAUUGAUUCUUUUAAAAUUUGCCUAAUAUACAAAAGUUUCUUAAUAUAUAAAGUAUUAUGAAAUCUUGAUUGUAAAAAGUUUUUUGAAAAAUAUCUCUCAAAAUCCAUUCAAAUCAUGUGUUAAAAAUCUUGAUUGUAAAAAAGUCUAUGUAAAAAAGUCUUUAAAAUCUCACAAAAUCAAUAUAGUCCAACAAAAUCUCAUAAAAUCAUCAAGACUUUUUUUGCCAAAAUUAUCUCAUGAAAUCCCAAUCCAAUACACC
RNAcentral lists this long non-coding RNA (421 nucleotides) under Trifolium pratense (red clover). RNAcentral describes it as "long non-coding RNA (TPRA_LNC011757)". The record is from RNAcentral. Lineage: Eukaryota; Viridiplantae; Streptophyta; Magnoliopsida; Fabales; Fabaceae.